Molecule: ribosomal RNA, 398 nt
Filed under: uncultured bacterium
Lineage: Bacteria
Description: partial 16S ribosomal RNA
Rfam family: Bacterial small subunit ribosomal RNA
Source: RNAcentral
AUACGUAGGGUGCGAGCGUUGUCCGGAAUUACUGGGCGUAAAGAGCUCGUAGGUGGUUUGUCGCGUCGUCUGUGAAAUUCCGGGGCUUAACUCCGGGCGUGCAGGCGAUACGGGCAUAACUUGAGUACUGUAGGGGAGACUGGAAUUCCUGGUGUAGCGGUGAAAUGCGCAGAUAUCAGGAGGAACACCGGUGGCGAAGGCGGGUCUCUGGGCAGUAACUGACGCUGAGGAGCGAAAGCAUGGGUAGCGAACAGGAUUAGAUACCCUGGUAGUCCAUGCCGUAAACGGUGGGCGCUAGGUGUAGGGGUCUUCCACGACUUCUGUGCCGUAGCUAACGCAUUAAGCGCCCCGCCUGGGGAGUACGGCCGCAGGGCUAAAACUCAAAGGAAUUGGCGGGG